RNAcentral lists this ribosomal RNA (253 nucleotides) under uncultured bacterium. Its description in RNAcentral is "partial 16S ribosomal RNA". It matches the Rfam family "Bacterial small subunit ribosomal RNA", at positions 524 to 776 of the family's 1533-position model. The record is from RNAcentral.
UACGAGAGGCCCAAGCGUUAUUCGGAUUUACUGGGCUUAAAGAGUUCGUAGGCGGCGCAGAAAGUGGGGUGUGAAAGCCCUCGGCUCAACCGAGGAAUUGCGCUCCAAACUACUGUGCUAGAGGAAGCUAGAGGUGAGCAGAACAGAUGGUGGAGCGGUGAAAUGCGUUGAUAUCAUCUGGAAUACCGGAGGCGAAGGCGGCUCACUGGGGCUUUUCUGACGCUGAGGAACGAAAGCCAGGGUAGCGAACGGG